RNAcentral lists this unclassified non-coding RNA (332 nucleotides) under soil metagenome. Its description in RNAcentral is "partial contains 5.8S ribosomal RNA, internal transcribed spacer 2, and large subunit ribosomal RNA". The stretch from base 1 to 120 matches the Rfam family "5.8S ribosomal RNA", at positions 35 to 154 of the family's 154-position model. The record is from RNAcentral.
GAUGAAGAACGCAGUAAAAUGCGAUAAGUAAUGUGAAUUGCAGAAUUCAGUGAAUCAUCGAAUCUUUGAACGCACAUUGCGCCCGCCAGUAUUCUGGCGGGCAUGCCUGUUCGAGCGUCAUUUCAACCCUCAAGCACAGCUUGGUGUUGGGACUCGCGUUAAUUCGCGUUCCUCAAAUUGAAUGGCGGUCACGUCGAGCUUCCAUAGCGUAGUAGUAAAACCCUCGUUACUGGUAAUCGUCGCGGCCACGCCGUUAAACCCCAACUUCUGAAUGUUGACCUCGGAUCAGGUAGGAAUACCCGCUGAACUUAAGCAUAUCAAUAAGCGGAGGA